Balaenoptera acutorostrata (minke whale) is the source of this 222-nucleotide long non-coding RNA. RefSeq lists it as uncharacterized. The transcript is spliced from 3 exons. NCBI's taxonomy places the organism in Eukaryota, Metazoa, Chordata, Mammalia, Artiodactyla, Balaenopteridae. The record is from RefSeq and is a predicted model, not a curated record.
AUUAUGUUGACUUUAUAUUGCUGUGCAUUUGAAUAGCAUCACAGAAGAAAGACAAGAAAUCUAAAGACAAAUCAUAUAAAAUCUUUUUGCUAUGAAGGGGGGAAUGGAUCAAGAAAUGUCGCACUUCAAUAGCUACAGCUGCUUAGGUAUGAGAGAAUUCCCAAAUGCAGUACUGAGAAGAGAAAAAAAGGCAACUGGAGUGUAUGACACCAACAAAAAUAU